GAGGAAGUAAAAGUCGUAACAAGGUUUCCGUAGGUGAACCUGCGGAAGGAUCAUUACUGAAUUGUCAACAUGAAGUUGUUGCUGGCCCUCAGAUGGGGGUAUGUGCACGCUCUGUUUACACAUCCACUCACACCUGUGCACCCUCUGUAGUUCUAUGGUCUGGGGGCUCUGUCCUCCUGCUGUGGUUCUGCGUAUUUAUACAUACACACUGUAAUAAAGUCUCAUGGAAUGUAUGCCGCGUUUAACGCAAUGUAAUACAACUUUCAGCAACGGAUCUCUUGGCUCUCGCAUCGAUGAAGAACGCAGCGAAAUGCGAUAAGUAAUGUGAAUUGCAGAAUUCAGUGAAUCAUCGAAUCUUUGAACGCACCUUGCGCCCUUUGGCUAUUCCGAAGGGCAUGCCUGUUUGAGUAUCAUGAACACCUCAACUCCUCAUGGCUUGCCAUGAUGAGCUUGGACUUGGGGGUCUUGCUGGCCUGUGGUCAGCUCCUCUCAAAUGAAUCAGCUUGCCAGUGAUUGGUGGCACCACAGGUGUGAUAAACAUCUACGCUUGUGGUUCCCCACCAUGUAACCUUUAGCGAUAGAGGUUCGCUGGAGCUCACAAAUGUCUUUCCUCAGUGAAGACAGCUCUUUGAUUGUUUGAUCUCAAAUCAGGUAGGACUACCCGCUGAACUUAAGCAUAUCA
This 682-nucleotide ribosomal RNA is filed under the name uncultured Tomentella. RNAcentral's name for it is "eukaryotic LSU rRNA". The stretch from base 259 to 413 matches the Rfam family "5.8S ribosomal RNA". Lineage: Eukaryota; Fungi; Basidiomycota; Agaricomycetes; Thelephorales; Thelephoraceae. The record is from RNAcentral.